GACGAACGCUGGCGGCGUGCUUAACACAUGCAAGUCGAACGGAAAGGCCUGCUUUCCCUUGUGGAUUGCGGGUACUCGAGUGGCGAACGGGUGAGUAACACGUGAGUGAUCUGCCCCCAACUUGGGUAUAAGCCUGGGAAACUGGGUCUAAUUCCCGAUAGGACUGCAGGGUGGUGCCUGUGGUGGAAAACGAUUUUCUAGUGGUCGGGGAUGAGCUAGCGGCCUAUCAGCUUGUUGGUGGGGUAAUGGCCUACCAAGGCGGCGACGGGUAGCCGGCCUGGGAGGGUGGACGGCCACAUUGGGACUGAGAUACGGCCCAGACUCCUACGGGAGGCAGCAGUGGGGAAUAUUGCACAAUGGGCGGAAGCCUGAUGCAGCGACGCCGCGUGGGGGAUGACGGCCUUCGGGUUGUAAACUCCUUUCGACCGCGAGGAAGCCACCUGGUUGGAAGGGUGGUGACGGUAGUGGUAGAAGAAACACCGGCUAACUACGU
Molecule: ribosomal RNA, 493 nt
Filed under: uncultured bacterium
Lineage: Bacteria
Description: partial 16S ribosomal RNA
Rfam family: Bacterial small subunit ribosomal RNA
Source: RNAcentral